This 346-nucleotide unclassified non-coding RNA is filed under the name soil metagenome. RNAcentral's name for it is "partial contains 5.8S ribosomal RNA, internal transcribed spacer 2, and large subunit ribosomal RNA". The stretch from base 1 to 120 matches the Rfam family "5.8S ribosomal RNA", at positions 35 to 154 of the family's 154-position model. The record is from RNAcentral.
GAUGAAGAACGCAGCGUAAUGCGAUAAGUAAUGUGAAUUGCAGAAUUCAGUGAAUCAUCGAGUCUUUGAACGCACAUUGCGCCCCCUGGUAUUCCGGGGGGCAUGCCUGUCCGAGCGUCAUUGCUGCCCUCAAGCCCGGCUUGUGUGUUGGGUCUCGUCCCCCUUCCCGGGGGGACGGGCCCGAAAGGCAGCGGCGGCACCGCGUCCGGUCCUCGAGCGUAUGGGGCUUUGUCACCCGCUCUGUAGGCCCGGCCGGCGCUUGCCGAUCAACCAAAACUUUUUUCCAGGUUGACCUCGGAUCAGGUAGGGAUACCCGCUGAACUUAAGCAUAUCAAUAAGCGGAGGA